Molecule: non-coding RNA, 860 nt
Filed under: Beta vulgaris subsp. vulgaris (sugar beet)
Lineage: Eukaryota; Viridiplantae; Streptophyta; Magnoliopsida; Caryophyllales; Amaranthaceae
Description: Bacterial large subunit ribosomal RNA
Rfam family: Bacterial large subunit ribosomal RNA
Source: Rfam by way of RNAcentral
CGAUGGCCAACGGGUUAAUAUUCCCGUACUACUUAUAAUUGUGAUGGGGUGACGGAGUGAUGAAAGCACCGCGAACUGACGGAAUAGUUCGUUAAAGCACUUAGCUAUAUUCUCUAUAGGCAAAUCCGUAGAGAACUGGUGAAAUGACGAUAGUACUCGGAGUCUUCGGACAAAGAGAUAGUGUGCCUAAGGGCUUCCAAGAAAAACCUCUAAACUUAGAUUAUAAGUACCCGUACCGUAAACCGACACAGGUAGUUGAGGAGAGAAUCCUAAGGUGCUCGAGAGAUUCAUGGCUAAGGAAUUAGGCAAAAUAGACCUGUAACUUCGGGAGAAAGGUCGCCCCGCAGCAAUCAGGCCGCAGUGAAGAGGUCCAGGCGACUGUUUAUCAAAAACACAGGGCUCUGCAAAAUCGUAAGAUGAAGUAUAGGGCCUGACACCUGCCCGGUGCUGGAAGGUUAAGAGGAGAUGUUAUCUUCGGAGAAGCAUUGAAUUGAAGCCCCAGUAAACGGCGGCCGUAACUAUAACGGUCCUAAGGUAGCGAAAUUCCUUGUCGGGUAAGUUCCGACCUGCACGAAUGGUGUAACGAUCUGGACACUGUCUCAGCCAUGAGCUCGGUGAAAUUGUAGUAACGGUGAAGAUGCCGUUUACCCGCAGUGGGACGAAAAGACCCUGUGCACCUUUACUAUAGCUUAGUAUUGACCUUGGAUAAAUGAUGUGUAGGAUAGGUUGGAGACUGUGAAGUGGCGUCGCCAGGCGUUGUGGAGUCAUUGUUGAAAUACAACCCUUUGUUUAUCUGAGGCCUAACCCCGCAAUGUGGGGGACAGUGCUUGGUGGGUAGUUUGACUGGGGUGGUCGCCUCC